CACAGCCGCACCGCACGGCGCACACGGGCACGCACCCCGAUGUGCCCGCAGGCACACGAGGAAGGCGCGCCCUCCUCGCCGCUCGCAGCGGGGCUUGCACUCAUUCCCCACGGGGCUCUUUGGGCCAGGGCACCCGGGCAGCGCUGCACUCACCGUCUGACGGCUUUUUGGCACGGUCCGCGCCCCCGCCGCCUGGGACAUCAACACUUCAGAUCGAAAGGAAACAUCGGAUUUGUGAUCGUCUUUGGGUUGCUGGAGAACAUUCUGUGUUCUUCUGCUUUUAAAAUAAAUCGUAAAUCAUCCC
Molecule: non-coding RNA, 304 nt
Organism: Lonchura striata (white-rumped munia)
Lineage: Eukaryota; Metazoa; Chordata; Aves; Passeriformes; Estrildidae
Source: RefSeq, a predicted model, not a curated record